Phalacrocorax carbo (great cormorant) is the source of this 2681-nucleotide non-coding RNA. Lineage: Eukaryota; Metazoa; Chordata; Aves; Suliformes; Phalacrocoracidae. The record is from RefSeq and is a predicted model, not a curated record.
CCGCCGCCGGCGGGGGAGGGGCGCGGCGGGGCGGCGGCGGCGGCGGCGGCGGCAGCAUGGCCGAGGCGGCGGCGGCGGCGGCGGAGGAGGCGGGGGCGCCGUCGCCGCGGGUGGGCGCGUGGCUGCCGGUGCUGGUGGAGCAGAUGGUGAACGACACGCUGGUGGUCACGCUGAGCUGCGGGGAGCGCCGCUUCACCGGCGUCCUGCUCGACUGCACCAAGAAAUCCGGACUGUUCUGUAUCCCAUCCUCCUUUCCGAAGCAUGAGGACCCUCCUGCUGACGCAUGUGCUAAUGGAGCUGCUGGCGGUGGAGAUGCUGUGCAGGGCGAGAUGGAGCCGCAGCCCGCUGGUGAGAAGCCUCCCAAAGGAAAUGGUGACGAGCAAGUACCCCCGCUCCUGCCUCCCCCGCCGCCUGGCAGCCUUCCUCCUUACCCCCCAUACUUCGAGGGAGCUCCCUUUCCUCGUCCGCUGUGGCUGCGGCACACAUACAACCAGUGGGUUCCUCAGCCACCACCACGGACUAUAAAGAGGACGAGGAGGCGUUUGUCACGGAAUAGAGACCCGGGAAGGCUUAUCAUGAGCACUAUCAGGCUGCGGCCAAGACAGGUGCUCUGUGAGAAGUGUAAAAACACUCUGAACCCUGAGGAUGCAAACACAGCUAGGCAGAACGCUAAAACAAGGAGGAAGCUGAGCAUUCAGGACAAAGAGCAGAAAAAGCACAGUGACUCUGACUAUACGGAGAAACGGAACAAAAGAGAAAAGAGAGAGGACGAGAAAUUUUCUGGGGAACUAGUGCAUCGAACGCCAGUUAUAAAAAUAUCCUACAGUACUCCACAAGGGAAAGGCGAAGUUGUAAAAAUCCCUUCCCGGGUUCAUGGCUCGGUCAAACCGUUUUGUCCAGAGCGAAUAUUGCAGAACGGAGGGGAGGACCAAGAGGAGACCAGAGACUCUGAACGGUGUCGAGAAACCAAAUGUUUAAUGGACAAGUCAGCAGGCAGCCAGCUUGCUUCCAUUCCAAAACUGAAGCUCACGAGGCCCGUGCAUUCCAGUGCGGAUGUCCCACCCCCAAAGAUACGGCUGAAGCCCCAUCGCAUAAAUGAUGGUCAGAGUGUUUCAAUUUAUAAGGCAGAACUUAUUGACGAAAUAAACGUCCUUCAGAACAGCAGGGAGUCCAAUGCAGGCGCAUUUUACAACGAUGAAUCUGCAGACAGAAGUUUAGCUGAGAUAUCUUCAGGGAGUUCAGGUGAAGAUGAGGACUUUAAAAGAUUUCCCCAAGGUAAAGAUGGACAUGAUAACUUGGCUUUCCUUAUGAAUUAUCGUAAAAGAAAAGCAGAUUCUUCUAGCUUAUCGGUGUGUAGUAAUGACAGUCUAGAUGAAUCCAAGUCUUCUAGUUCAGAAGUAACAUCACCAGAAAUGUGUGACUUUUUGCCUGGUGAUGAUGCAUCCGUCUCUUCAUCUUCAAAAGAUGAGCGUAAAAUUGUGCCACCGCUAACAGUUAGACUGCAUACCCAAAGUGUGUCUAAAUGUGUCACAGAAGAUGGAAGAACUGUUUCAGUGGGGGAUAUUGUUUGGGGUAAAAUUCAUGGUUUUCCAUGGUGGCCAGCACGUGUUCUUGACAUAAACCUUAGCCAGAAGGAAAACGGGGAGCCUUCAUGGCGAGAAGCUAAAGUAUCGUGGUUUGGUUCUCCAACGACUUCAUUCUUAUCUGUUUCAAAACUCUCUCCUUUCUCUGAAUUUUUCAAACUGAGAUUUAAUCGCAAGAAGAAAGGGAUGUAUCGGAAAGCUAUCACAGAAGCUGCAAAGGCAGUAGAGCAUCUGACUCCGGAAAUCAGAGAUCUCUUAACACAGUUUGAGACAUAACUUUGCCUCUAGUAUCAGAUCCUACGCAACUCCGGCAUCCACUGAAUGGCACUGCUGGCAGAGUGCGGUUAGACCAAAACGACCGGGCAUCCCAACAGAGAGCUCAGCUGUUUCCAGCAGAUCGUGGCGGCGCUGCCGAGCCCACACCGGGUGUGGACUGCCCUGCCAACAGCACAUUUCUACCCACGGAUUUAAAUUAGGCUGCCCUAAUUUAAUCUUUGAAAAAUGACGUCAUAAAAGAAAGGUGAUCUUAAAUGCAGUAAAAAGGCUGGGCGAGUGCAAUGCCUGGAGGAAACGUGCAACGCCCGUCAGCAGCAGGAGCCGCGUCUCUGCCCUGCCAGACCACCCCAGCAGCGUCCCAGCGAGGGCCCCUGGCAGCGCGUUGGGACAGAUGAGAAAGUCACCCCAGGCCUCAGGUUCUUCUGCUAGCUAAAACCAGACAGAGAUUAAUGCCAUUUUCAGGGAGAGAAAAAGAAAGGAGCUCCGUAGGUCAUAUGUGUAAUUCAGGGAUGAAGUUUCAAAGUCUGGAUUUAGAAAUAAUAGCCAAAGGCUCUGAGAGUGUAAUCUAUCACUGGAACCGUGCCAGUGACUAACUAAAAAAGUCUGCCCCAAAACGUAAAAAUCAUGAAUCAUUCCUGAAAGCCAGAAGAUGUUUCGUAACUUUCAUGAUUUCAGACAAACUCUCAGCAUCCUGUUUGCUGCCGGCCUUUGUUCUAGGGCUUUGACUUACUCAUCCAGUAGGGAGGUUUACCCUGAAAGCGUGGAGGCUUGAAACUUGUCUUUGAAAAAACUGAAUAAAGAGAGACACAAUUUUCACCAAAA